This 509-nucleotide ribosomal RNA is filed under the name uncultured bacterium. RNAcentral describes it as "bacterial SSU rRNA". It matches the Rfam family "Bacterial small subunit ribosomal RNA", at positions 524 to 1032 of the family's 1533-position model. The record is from RNAcentral.
UACGUAGGGGGCGAGCGUUGUCCGGAAUGAUUGGGCGUAAAGGGCGCGCAGGCGGCCUGUCAAGUCAGUAGUGGAAGUCCAUUUUUCAAGGAUGGAAGUGCUAUAGAAACUGAUGGGCUUGAGUGCAGGAGAGGUUAUCGGAAUUCCCGGUGUAGCGGUGAAAUGCGUAGAGAUCGGGAGGAACACCAGUGGCGAAGGCGGGUAACUGGACUGCAACUGACGCUGAGGCGCGAAAGUGUGGGGAGCAAACAGGAUUAGAUACCCUGGUAGUCCACACUGUAAACGAUGAAUGCUAGGUGUAGGGGGUAUCGACCCCUUCUGUGCCGAAGUAAACACAAUAAGCAUUCCGCCUGGGGAGUACGGUCGCAAGAUUAAAACUCAAAGGAAUUGACGGGGGCCCGCACAAGCAGCGGAGCAUGUGGUUUAAUUCGAAGCAACGCGAAGAACCUUACCAGGUCUUGACAUCCAUCUAAAGCUGCGGAGACGCAGUGUGAGCAAGCUCGAGAUGA